CCUACGGGGGGCAGCAGUGGGGAAUAUUGCACAAUGGGGGAAACCCUGAUGCAGCGACGCCGCGUGAGUGAAGAAGGAUUUCGGUAUGUAAAGCUCUAUCAGCGGGGAGGAAAAAAGACGGUACCUGACUAAGAAGCCCCGGCUAACUACGUGCCAGCAGCCGCGGUAAUACGUAGGGGGCGAGCGUUUUCCGGAUUUACUGGGUGUAACGGGGGCGCAGACGGCAAUGCAAGCCAGGAGUGAAAGUCCGGGGCCCAACCGCGGGACUGCUCUUGGAACUGGAUGGCUGGAGUACAGGAGGGGCAGGCGGAAUUCCUAGUGUAGCGGUGAAAUGCGUAGAUAUUAGGAGGAACACCGGUGGCGAAGGCAGCCUGCUGGACUGUGACUGACGUUGAUGCCCGAAGGCGUGGGGAGCAAACAGGAUUAGAUACCCCUGUAGUC
This 441-nucleotide ribosomal RNA is filed under the name uncultured bacterium. RNAcentral's name for it is "partial 16S ribosomal RNA". It matches the Rfam family "Bacterial small subunit ribosomal RNA", at positions 338 to 795 of the family's 1533-position model. The record is from RNAcentral.